This 253-nucleotide ribosomal RNA is filed under the name uncultured bacterium. RNAcentral describes it as "partial 16S ribosomal RNA". It matches the Rfam family "Bacterial small subunit ribosomal RNA", at positions 524 to 776 of the family's 1533-position model. The record is from RNAcentral.
UACGUAGGGUGCGAGCGUUGUCCGGAAUUAUUGGGCGUAAAGAGCUCGUAGGUGGUUUGUCGCGUUGUUCGUGAAAACUCACAACUCAAUUGUGGGCGUGCGGGCGAUACGGGCAGACUGGAGUACUGCAGGGGAGACUGGAAUUCCUGGUGUAGCGGUGAAAUGCGCAGAUAUCAGGAGGAACACCGGUGGCGAAGGCGGGUCUCUGGGCCGAUACUGACGCUGAGGUGCGAAAGCUAGGGGAGCAAACAGG